GUCUACAGCCAUACCACCCUGAACAUGCCCAGUCUCUUCUGAUCUCAGAAGCUAAGCAGGGUCGGGCCCGGUUACUACUUGGAUGGGGGACUGUCUGGGAAUACCAGGUGCUGUAGGCU
This 119-nucleotide ribosomal RNA is filed under the name Prolemur simus (greater bamboo lemur). Lineage: Eukaryota; Metazoa; Chordata; Mammalia; Primates; Lemuridae. The record is from RNAcentral.